This is a long non-coding RNA of Mus caroli (Ryukyu mouse), 207 nucleotides long. RefSeq lists it as uncharacterized. Lineage: Eukaryota; Metazoa; Chordata; Mammalia; Rodentia; Muridae. The record is from RefSeq and is a predicted model, not a curated record.
GCUAGUUAUGCAUCUAACAUUUGCCCCUUGGAUUGCCUAGCAUUUGACUAGAAGUUAUGAAGUUCUAACCAAGAAGCUGAGAUGCACCUUAUCUUCUUCUCCUGGACCCCAGAGUGAAAUGAAAACUGGAGAAGAAAGGCUGAGUUGAAGGCAGUGUUUCUAGGUAGGAAGAAACUUCUCCUACUUCCUUAGCUGGGGCUUUGGAUU